AACCAUAGAAACCUGCGGAGUACCUGCGGAAGGAUCAUUAUAGUAUAUGGAAUCUCCAUUCUAUAAACCCACUCUGCGUAUCUUGUAACUGUUGCUUCCAUGGGACUUGGUUCCGCCACACCGGCUUCACGGCUGGUGAGCGCCCAUGGAAGGAGAAACAAAACUCUUCUUUGAAAUGUAGUCAGUCUGAACAAGUUUUUAUAAACGUUAAACUUUCAACAACGGAUCUCAGAUCGGAAG
RNAcentral lists this unclassified non-coding RNA (240 nucleotides) under soil metagenome. Its description in RNAcentral is "partial contains 5.8S ribosomal RNA, internal transcribed spacer 2, and large subunit ribosomal RNA". The record is from RNAcentral.